AUCUAAGUACCCCGAGGAAAAGAAAUCAACCGAGAUUCCCCCAGUAGCGGCGAGCGAACGGGGAGGAGCCCAGAGCCUGAAUCAGCAUGUGUGUUAGUGGAAGCGUCUGGAAAGGCGCGCGAUACAGGGUGACAGCCCCGUACACAAAAGCGCAUGUGCUGUGAGCUCGAUGAGUAGGGCGGGACACGUGGUAUCCUGUCUGAAUAUGGGGGGACCAUCCUCCAAGGCUAAAUACUCCUGACUGACCGAUAGUGAACCAGUACCGUGAGGGAAAGGCGAAAAGAACCCCGGCGAGGGGAGUGAAAAAGAACCUGAAACCGUGUACGUACAAGCAGUGGGAGCACAGGUUUACCUGUGUGACUGCGUACCUUUUGUAUAAUGGGUCAGCGACUUAUAUUCUGUAGCAAGGUUAACCGAAUAGGGGAGCCGCAGGGAAACCGAGUCUUAAUUGGGCGUUAAGUUGCAGGGUAUAGACCCGAAACCCGGUGAUCUAGCCAUGGGCAGGUUGAAGGUUGGGUAACACUAACUGGAGGACCGAACCGACUAAUGUUGAAAAAUUAGCGGAUGACCUGUGGCUGGGGGUGAAAGGCCAAUCAAACCGGGAGAUAGCUGGUUCUCCCCGAAAGCUAUUUAGGUAGCGCCUCGUGAAUUCAUCUCCGGGGGUAGAGCACUGUUUCGGCUAGGGGGCCAUCCCGGCUUACCAACCCGAUGCAAACUGCGAAUACCGGAGAAUGUUAUCACGGGAGACACACGGCGGGUGCUAACGUCCGUCGUGAAGAGGGAAACAACCCAGACCGCCAGCUAAGGUCCCAAAGUCAUGGUUAAGUGGGAAACGAUGUGGGAAGGCCCAGACAGCCAGGAUGUUGGCUUAGAAGCAGCCAUCAUUUAAAGAAAGCGUAAUAGCUCACUGGUCGAGUCGGCCUGCGCGGAAGAUGUAACGGGGCUAAACCAUGCACCGAAGCUGCGGCAGCGACGCUGAUGCGUUGUUGGGUAGGGGAGCGUUCUGUAAGCCUGUGAAGGUGUGUCGUGAGGC
Molecule: ribosomal RNA, 1033 nt
Filed under: Salmonella enterica
Lineage: Bacteria; Pseudomonadati; Pseudomonadota; Gammaproteobacteria; Enterobacterales; Enterobacteriaceae
Description: partial 23S ribosomal RNA
Rfam family: Bacterial large subunit ribosomal RNA
Source: RNAcentral